RNAcentral lists this ribosomal RNA (445 nucleotides) under Malkaridae sp. LB-2014j. RNAcentral describes it as "partial 16S ribosomal RNA". It matches the Rfam family "Bacterial large subunit ribosomal RNA", at positions 1831 to 2600 of the family's 2925-position model. Lineage: Eukaryota; Metazoa; Arthropoda; Arachnida; Araneae; Malkaridae. The record is from RNAcentral.
UGUUUAUAGAAUUUAUUAUAAAUAAAACCUGCUCAAUGCCUAUGUAAAUUGCCGCAGAAAUAUUACUGUGCUAAGGUAGCAUAAUCAUUUCCCUUUUAAUUAAAGGCUAGAAUGAAUGGUUUAACAUUUAAAUAACUUUUUUUCAUUACCCAACUUAAAUUAAACUAAUAAUUAAAAUAUUAUUUUAAAUAAAAAAGACGACAAGACCCUAUCAAACUUAACUUAAGUUUAACUGGGGCAGUUAAUUAAUUUCAAUUUUAAUUUAAAUUUUUAAAUAAAAGAUCCAAUCAAAUUGAAUAAAUAAACAAGUUACUGUAGGGAUAACAGCAUAAUAUUUUUCUAAAGCUCAUAUUAAAAAAAAAAAUUAUGACCUCGAUGUUGAAUUAAUUUAUUAUAAAAUGCAAAAAUUUUAUUAAUAGGUCUGUUCRACCUUUAAAUAAUUACA